RNAcentral lists this ribosomal RNA (909 nucleotides) under Bacillus sp. (in: firmicutes). RNAcentral's name for it is "bacterial SSU rRNA". It matches the Rfam family "Bacterial small subunit ribosomal RNA", at positions 36 to 920 of the family's 1533-position model. Lineage: Bacteria; Bacillati; Bacillota; Bacilli; Caryophanales; Bacillaceae. The record is from RNAcentral.
CCGGCAUUGAUAUCGUCAGAGACAUGAUCGUCGAGCGGACAGAUGGGAGCUUGCUCCCUGAUGUUAGCGGCGGACGGGUGAGUAACACGUGGGUAACCUGCCUGUAAGACUGGGAUAACUCCGGGAAACCGGGGCUAAUACCGGAUGCUUGUUUGAACCGCAUGGUUCAAACAUAAAAGGUGGCUUCGGCUACCACUUACAGAUGGACCCGCGGCGCAUUAGCUAGUUGGUGAGGUAACGGCUCACCAAGGCAACGAUGCGUAGCCGACCUGAGAGGGUGAUCGGCCACACUGGGACUGAGACACGGCCCAGACUCCUACGGGAGGCAGCAGUAGGGAAUCUUCCGCAAUGGACGAAAGUCUGACGGAGCAACGCCGCGUGAGUGAUGAAGGUUUUCGGAUCGUAAAGCUCUGUUGUUAGGGAAGAACAAGUACCGUUCGAAUAGGGCGGUACCUUGACGGUACCUAACCAGAAAGCCACGGCUAACUACGUGCCAGCAGCCGCGGUAAUACGUAGGUGGCAAGCGUUGUCCGGAAUUAUUGGGCGUAAAGGGCUCGCAGGCGGUUUCUUAAGUCUGAUGUGAAAGCCCCCGGCUCAACCGGGGAGGGUCAUUGGAAACUGGGGAACUUGAGUGCAGAAGAGGAGAGUGGAAUUCCACGUGUAGCGGUGAAAUGCGUAGAGAUGUGGAGGAACACCAGUGGCGAAGGCGACUCUCUGGUCUGUAACUGACGCUGAGGAGCGAAAGCGUGGGGAGCGAACAGGAUUAGAUACCCUGGUAGUCCACGCCGUAAACGAUGAGUGCUAAGUGUUAGGGGGUUUCCGCCCCUUAGUGCUGCAGCUAACGCAUUAAGCACUCCGCCUGGGGGAGUACGGUUCGCAAGACUGAAACUCAAAGGAAUUGACGGGGGC